UAUUGGUCAAUGGGCGCUAGCCUGAACCAGCCAAGUAGCGUGAAGGAUGACUGCCCUAUGGGUUGUAAACUUCUUUUAUAUGGGAAUAAAGUGCAGUAUGUAUACUGCUUUGCAUGUACCUUAUGAAUAAGGAUCGGCUAACUCCGUGCCAGCAGCCGCGGUAAGAAGGAGGAUACGAGCGUUAUCCGGAUUUACUUGGUUUAAAGGGAGCGGAGGCGGGUUGUAAAGUCAGUUGUGAAAGUUUGCGGCUCAACCGUAAAAUUGCAGUUGAUACUGGCAUCCUUGAGUACAGUAGAGGUAGGCGGAAUUCGUUGUGUAGCGGUGAAAUGCUUAGAUAUCACGAAGAACUCCGAUUGCGAAGGCAGCCUGCUGGACUGUAACUGACGCUGAUGCUCGAAAGUGUGGGUAUCAAACAG
This 416-nucleotide ribosomal RNA is filed under the name uncultured bacterium. RNAcentral describes it as "bacterial SSU rRNA". It matches the Rfam family "Bacterial small subunit ribosomal RNA", at positions 362 to 775 of the family's 1533-position model. The record is from RNAcentral.